Molecule: long non-coding RNA, 1150 nt
Filed under: Vigna radiata
Lineage: Eukaryota; Viridiplantae; Streptophyta; Magnoliopsida; Fabales; Fabaceae
Description: long non-coding RNA (VRAD_LNC014331)
Source: RNAcentral
AGAUAAGUUUAGAAAAUUGGGUUGCCUCCCAGGUAGCGCUUGUUUAACGUCACGAGCCUGACCCAAACCUUUCUAGCACUUGUCAGUAAGUGCAAAUCUUUCCAACACCCAUCAGUAGGUGUGCUUCCCUGUAUCAUCACCAAGAUUUAAAAAUUUAAAGUACAAAAAUAUUGUUCUUGGAUCACUAGGGUGCCUCCCAAUAAGCGCUCUUUUAACGUCAUUAGCUUGACCCGGUAAAGCUCAAACACCCAUCAGUAGGUGUUGAUAUUCUUCUUAUCACCAACUUUAAAAGCUUUGUCUGCUUUAAUAGUCUUGAAAACCCAUAACCUACUCUUGAAUUUCACUUGAUGUGUCAGGUUUGGGUUUGUCACUUUUCACAUCAGGGUGUUCGUGAACCAAUUCUCCUUCCUUAUCCGCCUCCUGAUGAUCUUGUGAUCCUAGUGUAAAUUUUAUCCUGCAUAUACUAAAGAACACUGCACUAAAGCAUAGAAUUAGUCCAAAAAAAAUAAAAACAAUAAAAAUAUUAUUUAAUUUUUAAUUUUCGUUUUUUCUUUUAAAUAAAAAUAAAUAAAAACAGAAAAAUAAAAACACCCCUCAGUAGGUGUUAAUUCUCUUUGCUUGAUAUUCUUUCUUUUUCUUCUUUCUGCUGAAUUUCUUCAGAAAAUUAAGAACACCAAGCACCUGUUUCCAUGUAUCAAUCAUAGGAACUUUAAUCUCCAUUUUCUUGAAGAUCUCCAUAAAGCACUUAAACUUCUUUUCCUUCCGAUGAUUUUUCUUUUGACGAGGAAGAGGUUUUGCAUAUGAUCUUUUCUUCUUUCCUCUCUUCCUCUUUUUCUUAAUCUUAUCCUCCCUCAACUUUCUCUUUUUCUCUUUUCUUCUUUUCUUCUUUAUUUUCGCAUAUUUUUUCUUUUUUUCUUUUUUCUCAACCACUGCUUUUUCUCCCUCAUUAUCAUUAUCUUCCUCAACCAACUUUUCUGUUUCUUCUUCCUUUAAAUCUCUCUCUAUCUUUUCUUCCUCAAUCUUCUCCUCCUUUUUCUCCAAUCUUUUCUCCUCUAUCUUUUCUUCCUUAAUCUUCCCCUCCUUUUCUCCAAUUUUUUCUCCUCUAUCUUCUCCUUUAUCUUUUCUUCCUCAAUCUUCUCCUCCUUUUUCU